This 72-nucleotide transfer RNA is filed under the name Phacus orbicularis. RNAcentral describes it as "tRNA-Asn". It matches the Rfam family "tRNA". From Rfam's summary of the family: Transfer RNA (tRNA) molecules are approximately 80 nucleotides in length. Their secondary structure includes four short double-helical elements and three loops (D, anti-codon, and T loops). The record is from RNAcentral. Lineage: Eukaryota; Euglenozoa; Euglenophyceae; Euglenales; Phacaceae.
UCCUUAGUAGCUCAAAGGUAGAGCAAUCGGCUGUUAACCGAUUGGUCGUAGGUUCAAAUCCUACCUAGGGAG